RNAcentral lists this ribosomal RNA (480 nucleotides) under uncultured bacterium. RNAcentral describes it as "SSU rRNA". It matches the Rfam family "Bacterial small subunit ribosomal RNA", at positions 26 to 521 of the family's 1533-position model. The record is from RNAcentral.
AGGACGAACGCUGGCGGCGUGCUUAACACAUGCAAGUCGAGCGAGGCCCUUCCUUCGGGAGAGGUGCCCUAGCGGCGAACGGGUGAGUAACACGUGGGCAACCUGCCCCUAGCACUGGGAUAACUCCGGGAAACCGGGGCUAAUACCGGAUACGACCUCUGAGGGCAUCCUCGGGAGGUAGAAAGCAUUGUGGCUAGGGAUGGGCCCGCGGCCUAUCAGCUUGUUGGUGAGGUAAUGGCCCACCAAGGCGACGACGGGUAGCCGGCCUGAGAGGGCGACCGGCCACACUGGGACUGAGACACGGCCCAGACUCCUACGGGAGGCAGCAGUGGGGAAUAUUGCACAAUGGGCGAAAGCCUGAUGCAGCGACGCCGCGUGAGGGAUGACUGCCUUCGGGUUGUAAACCUCUUUCAGCAGGGACGAAGCGAAAGUGACGGUACCUGCAGAGAGCACCGGCAACUACGUGCCAGCAGCCGCGGU